CUGUUGGCACUCCAAUUUUGUGCUUGAAACAGUAUAUCGCACCAUUUACCCAGUUUUUUCUUGGUAUGUGUUUGGGUUCUCUCCAUUUGGAUGAAAACGUUAUUUUGUAGGAAUUGGUUAGUAGUUUAGAAUCUUGUUAUGCUUUCACAAUUGCAGUUGGACUAUUUUGCAUGGCUUUCUUUGCUAUGAGAGAUGAAUGUUGUGACAUUAAGAUAAUGCUCUUGUCAAACAGUGCUGUAUACAUGGGAUUUAUAUA
This is a long non-coding RNA of Telopea speciosissima, 256 nucleotides long. RefSeq lists it as uncharacterized. The record is from RefSeq and is a predicted model, not a curated record. NCBI's taxonomy places the organism in Eukaryota, Viridiplantae, Streptophyta, Magnoliopsida, Proteales, Proteaceae. The transcript has 2 exons.